RNAcentral lists this ribosomal RNA (253 nucleotides) under uncultured bacterium. RNAcentral describes it as "partial 16S ribosomal RNA". It matches the Rfam family "Bacterial small subunit ribosomal RNA", at positions 524 to 775 of the family's 1533-position model. The record is from RNAcentral.
UACGUAGGAUGCGAGCGUUGUCCGGAAUUACUGGGCGUAAAGAGCGCGUAGGCGGCGCUGUACGACCGUUGUGAAAGCCCCCGGCUCAACUGGGGAGGGUCAAUGGUAACGGCAGUGCUUUGAGUGCAGGAGAGGGAAGUGGAACUCCGGGAGUAGCGGUGAAAUGCGUAGAGACCCGGAGGAACACCAGUGGCGAAGGCGGCUUCCUGGUCUGCGACUGACGCUGUGGCGCGAAAGCUAGGGGAGCGAACGG